Molecule: ribosomal RNA, 1287 nt
Filed under: Arthrobacter flavus
Lineage: Bacteria; Bacillati; Actinomycetota; Actinomycetes; Micrococcales; Micrococcaceae
Description: bacterial SSU rRNA
Rfam family: Bacterial small subunit ribosomal RNA
Source: RNAcentral
GGGGGAUUAGUGGCGAACGGGUGAGUAACACGUGAGUAACCUGCCCUUGACUCUGAGAUAAGCCUGAGAAACCGGGUCUAAUACUGGAUAUGACCUUCUGGCGCAUGCCAUGUUGGUGGAAAGCUUUAUUGCGGUUUUGGAUGGACUCGCGGCCUAUCAGCUUGUUGGUGGGGUAAUGGCCUACCAAGGCGACGACGGGUAGCCGGCCUGAGAGGGUGGACGGCCACACUGGGACUGAGACACGGCCCAGACUCCUACGGGAGGCAGCAGUGGGGAAUAUUGCACAAUGGGCGCAAGCCUGAUGCAGCGACGCCGCGUGGGGGAUGAAGGCCUUCGGGUUGUAAACCUCUUUCAGUAGGGAAGAAGCGAAAGUGACGGUACCUGCAGAAGAAGCGCCGGCUAACUACGUGCCAGCAGCCGCGGUAAUACGUAGGGCGCAAGCGUUAUCCGGAAUUAUUGGGCGUAAAGAGCUCGUAGGCGGUUUGUCGCGUCUGCCGUGAAAGUCCGGGGCUUAACUCCGGAUCUGCGGUGGGUACGGGCAGACUAGAGUGAUGUAGGGGAGACUGGAAUUCCUGGUGUAGCGGUGAAAUGCGCAGAUAUCAGGAGGAACACCGAUGGCGAAGGCAGGUCUCUGGGCAUUAACUGACGCUGAGGAGCGAAAGCAUGGGGAGCGAACAGGAUUAGAUACCCUGGUAGUCCAUGCCGUAAACGUUGGGCACUAGGUGUGGGGGACAUUCCACGUUUUCCGCGCCGUAGCUAACGCAUUAAGUGCCCCCGCCUGGGGAGUACGGCCGCAAGGCUAAAACUCAAAGGAAUUGACGGGGGCCCGCACAAGCGGCGGAGCAUGCGGAUUAAUUCGAUGCAACGCGAAGAACCUUACCAAGGCUUGACAUGAACUGGAACAGCGCAGAGAUGUGUUGGCCGCUUGCGGCCGGUUUACAGGUGGUGCAUGGUUGUCGUCAGCUCGUGUCGUGAGAUGUUGGGUUAAGUCCCGCAACGAGCGCAACCCUCGUUCUAUGUUGCCAGCGCGUUAUGGCGGGGACUCAUAGGAGACUGCCGGGGUCAACUCGGAGGAAGGUGGGGACGACGUCAAAUCAUCAUGCCCCUUAUGUCUUGGGCUUCACGCAUGCUACAAUGGCCGGUACAAAGGGUUGCGAUACUGUGAGUAGGAGGUAAUUCCAAAAACCCGGUCUCAGCUCGGAUUUAGGUCUGCAACUCGACCUCAUGAAGUCGGAGUCGCUAGUAAUCGCAGAUCAGCAACGCUUCGGUGAAUACGUUCCCGGGCCU